GAUGAAGAACGCAGCGAAAUGCGAUAAGUAGUGUGAAUUGCAGAAUUCAGUGAAUCAUCGAAUCUUUGAACGCACAUUGCGCCCUUUGGUAUUCCUUAGGGCAUGCCUGUUCGAGCGUCAUUUAAACCUUCAAGCUAAGCUUGGUGUUGGGUGACUGUCCGCUUCACGGCGGACUCGCCUCAAAAUUAUUGGCGGCCGGUACAUUGGCUUCGAGCGCAGCAGAAACGCGAACUCGGGCCCGUCGUAUUGGCUCCCAGAAGCUAUCUUCACAAUUUUGACCUCGGAUCAGGUAGGGAUACCCGCUGAACUUAAGCAUAUCUAAGCGGAGGA
RNAcentral lists this unclassified non-coding RNA (330 nucleotides) under soil metagenome. Its description in RNAcentral is "partial contains 5.8S ribosomal RNA, internal transcribed spacer 2, and large subunit ribosomal RNA". The stretch from base 1 to 120 matches the Rfam family "5.8S ribosomal RNA", at positions 35 to 154 of the family's 154-position model. The record is from RNAcentral.